GCCGGUGUGAAGUAAAACCUCAACACUCCAAGACCUCCGAGUGCCGCUUGGUUCUUCAGUCACUGACCCAGUCCAGAUUUUCCAGUAUUUUCCAUAACAUUUGGUUCCCUAACUGGGAAACCCAACCGCGCUGGCCCAUUGUUGCCACCAGUUUGGGACAACGACAGGGCGGUGAUGGAACCGGAGAUCACAACGGAGAAGGCGCGCCCUGCUUGAUCUUUCAGCAGUCUCCCGCCUGGUCGCCCCAGGUUGGCCCCGCUCCACUGUUCCUGCCAGAUCAAGGAGGCUUGGCAGGUUGCUCCUGCUGGGGGAAGCCAACUGUCGUGUCACGAUUAACACUUAAGCAGCUUGUCACGAGGAACUGCAGCUUCCUUCCAACAGCUGACACCAGCAUCAUGUGACUGAAACAUCCUGAGAUCAUUUUGGAAGGUCACCUGCAAGUUAACUUUUCUUUCCAGCUCACUGCCAACUGGAAACCAUCACUAAGCAGAAACUAGCACCACUACAGGCACGUGCACUGAAACAAGGAGAGUGAGAAACCCGACCACAUUCAAUCAACAGAG
Long non-coding RNA from Manis javanica (Malayan pangolin), 563 nucleotides. RefSeq lists it as uncharacterized. Lineage: Eukaryota; Metazoa; Chordata; Mammalia; Pholidota; Manidae. The record is from RefSeq and is a predicted model, not a curated record.